GCAACUCGCCUGCAUGAAGUCGGAAUUGCUAGUAAUCGCGGAUCAGCAUGCCGCGGUGAAUACGUUCCCGGGCCUUGUACACACCGCCCGUCACACCAUGGGAGCCGGUAAUACCCGAAGUCAGUAGUCCAACCUCGUGAGGACGCUGCCGAAGGUAGGAUUGGCGACUGGGGUGAAGUCGUAACAAGGUAGC
RNAcentral lists this ribosomal RNA (193 nucleotides) under uncultured bacterium. RNAcentral describes it as "partial 16S ribosomal RNA". It matches the Rfam family "Bacterial small subunit ribosomal RNA", at positions 1307 to 1500 of the family's 1533-position model. The record is from RNAcentral.